Anguilla anguilla (European eel) is the source of this 301-nucleotide long non-coding RNA. RefSeq lists it as uncharacterized. Lineage: Eukaryota; Metazoa; Chordata; Actinopteri; Anguilliformes; Anguillidae. The record is from RefSeq and is a predicted model, not a curated record. The transcript is spliced from 3 exons.
GUGAAAAUACAGGGUGUACUAGGGUCCAUAGAGGGCACAGAAAAAAGCCUUUGCAGUAACCUACUGUAUCUCUUUCUGCACGGAUUGACAUUUGGACUUCAUUUCUUUUAAAAAAGCAAGGAUCUUCCAGCAAAUCCCACCAAGGAUAAUGUGUUGGCUGAAUUGAGUUGGACCCGAAGCACAAAUCGAGAUCUGUCACCAGCAAUCCACCCUUGGCUUCAAUCAGACCUCAUUUUGCUUGGCGAUGAAGCGGUCGAUGAAGCUCCUCACGUCGUUGCUGUCGUGUUCUUCUUUGCGCUGC